Molecule: ribosomal RNA, 292 nt
Filed under: uncultured Acidobacteriota bacterium
Lineage: Bacteria; Pseudomonadati; Acidobacteriota
Description: uncultured Acidobacteria bacterium partial 16S ribosomal RNA
Source: RNAcentral
GGACUACUAGGGUUUCUAAUCCUGUUUGCUACCCACGCUUUCGUGCCUCAGUGUCAGUCGUGGUCCAGUAAGCCGUCUACACCACCGGUGUUCCUCCUGAUAUCUACGCAUUUCACCGCUACACCAGGAAUUCCGCUUACCUCUCCCACACUCAAGCACCCCAGUUUCCACCGCACCCUCCCAGUUAAGCCGGGAGAUUUCACAACAGACUUAGGGCACCACCUACGCACUCUUUACGCCCAGUAACUCCGAACAACGCUUGCUGCCUACGUAUUACCGCGGCUGCUGGCAC